Molecule: ribosomal RNA, 246 nt
Filed under: uncultured bacterium
Lineage: Bacteria
Description: partial 16S ribosomal RNA
Rfam family: Bacterial small subunit ribosomal RNA
Source: RNAcentral
GCAAGUCGAACGGUAAGGCCCCUUCGGGGGUACACGAGUGGCGAACGGGUGAGUAACACGUGAGCAACCUGCCCUUGACUUCGGAAUACCAGCUGGAAACAGCUGCUAAUACCGGAUAUGACACCUUCCCUCCUGGGUUGGUGUGGAAAGCUCCGGCGGUCAGGGAUGGGCUCGCGGCCUAUCAGCUUGUUGGUGAGGUAAUGGCUCACCAAGGCUUCGACGGGUAGCCGGCCUGAGAGGGCGACC